Molecule: small nucleolar RNA, 83 nt
Organism: Rosa rugosa (rugosa rose)
Lineage: Eukaryota; Viridiplantae; Streptophyta; Magnoliopsida; Rosales; Rosaceae
Product: small nucleolar RNA SNORD24
Exons: 1
Source: RefSeq, a predicted model, not a curated record
GGCCGAUGAUGGAUAACAAUAUUUGCUACUCUUGAUGGGGAAAUCCCAUCUGAUGAUAUUUUACCACCAAGAUCUCUGAGGCC